CGCUGGGGCUCAUUUUGGCCUCCCGUUUCUCUCUCUUCGUCUUUGCACAUGUGAGGAGACUAAGGCGAUUCCAUUGAAACCCCGUUGUGUGCUCUCGAUUGUGUUCCAGAUUGAUAAAUCACUAAUCCUACAACGCUUUUCUCUGCAAUCUCCAUUGAUGUUUGCUGUCGACCGUUUCUGUUCUGUGACCCGUGUGAGGUGAUCCAAAGUAUAUUUCACCGAAACCCUGGUCUGGAUUGCUGUUGUGUACUACAACUUCUCUGUUGGGAUGAAUUUGAGUUAAAAUUCUGAAAUUUUGAACUGACCUUGAAAAAAGGUAACUAUUUUGUCUUGUUACAAUUCUAUUUCUAUUCAAUUUAACUUGAAAUUAGGUUUUUUGGAUUCUAUAUUGAACUGUGACAGUCAUUUUCUUAUAUUGUGCUUGAGAUUGCUGUUGUGUACUACAACUUCUCUAUUGGGAUGAAUUUGAGUUAAAAUUCUGGAAUUUUGAACUGAGCUUGAAAAAAGGUAACUAUUUUGCCUUGUUACAAUUCUAUUUCUAUUCAAUUUAACUUGAAAUUAGGUUUUUUGGAUUAUAUAUUGAAUUAUGAAUGCUGUCGUGUACUACCACUUCUCUAUUGGGAUGAAUUUGAGUUAAUAUUCUGGUAGUGUGCGCUGCUGAGUUGAUACUCUCCAAUUGUGACACUCCAAUUUUGCUGUAAUGGUUGUGGAACAUAUUUGUACUCAGUUCUGGAGGGAGUGUAUUUGUAAUUUUAAGUUGGAACUCAUUAUCUUGUAAUUUUCAGUUUUGUGAUUCUA
Cornus florida is the source of this 798-nucleotide long non-coding RNA. RefSeq lists it as uncharacterized. The record is from RefSeq and is a predicted model, not a curated record. The transcript has 2 exons. NCBI's taxonomy places the organism in Eukaryota, Viridiplantae, Streptophyta, Magnoliopsida, Cornales, Cornaceae.